This 301-nucleotide ribosomal RNA is filed under the name uncultured bacterium. RNAcentral describes it as "partial 16S ribosomal RNA". It matches the Rfam family "Bacterial small subunit ribosomal RNA", at positions 509 to 807 of the family's 1533-position model. The record is from RNAcentral.
CAGUAGCCGCGGUAAAACGUAGGGUGCGAGCGUUAAUCGGAAUUGCUGGGCGUAAAGCGUGCGCAGGCGGUUUUGUAAGACAGGCGUGAAAUCCCCGGGCUUAACCUGGGAAUGGCGCUUGUGACUGCAAGGCUAGAGUGCGUCAGAGGGGGGUAGAAUUCCACGUGUAGCAGUGAAAUGCGUAGAGAUGUGGAGGAAUACCGAUGGCGAAGGCAGCCCCCUGGGACGAGACUGACGCUCAUACACGAAAGCGUGGGGAGCAAACAGGAUUAGAUACCCCAGUAGUCCCUGUCUCUUAUAC